AAUUAGAUCGGUAGGGGAGUGUCGUUAAAGCGCUGAAGCUGAGCUGUAAGGCUUGGUGGAGUUUUAACAAGUAAGAAUGUUGGCAUGAGUAGCAAAAAUGCCGGUGAGAAUCCGGCAGGCCGUAAGUCUAAGGAUUCCUACGCAACGUUGAUCGGCGUAGGGUUAGUCGGGCCUAAGGCGUAUCCGAAAGGAAAAGUCGAUGGACAGCUGGUAAAUAUUCCAGCACCUUCAAAUUAUUGUUUGAUUCAAAGGGGUGACGCAGAAAGAUAAACAGAGCAUACGUAUUGGACAUCGUGUGUUUCUGCCUGUAAGAGAUAUAGAGAGGGUUAAAAUACUUUCUAUGCUUGAUCUGAGGGGUGGGAGAACUAUGAAGUUAGCUUCGUAGAAUUCUGUUGACUCUAGACUGCCAAGAAAAGCCUCGUUGAUUAGAUAUUUUGAAGACCGUACCGCAAACCAACACAGGUAGACAGGGAUAAAAGUCCCAAGGCCUUCGAGAGAACCAUCGUUAAGGAACUCGGCAAAUUGACCCCGUAACUUAGGGAGAAGGGGGACCUUUUAUGUAUAUGAGCUUGCCUCAGAAAGCGUAAAAGGUAGCAUAAAAUAGGUUGAAGCGACUGUUUAUCAAAAACACAGGUCCAUGCCAAAGCGAAAGCUGAUGUAUAUGGGCUGACGCCUGCCCAGUGCCGGUAGGUUAAGGAAGGUGGUGCAAGCUACUGACUGAAGCCCCGGUGAACGGCGGCCGUAACUAUAACGGUCCUAAGGUAGCGAAGUCCCUUGUCGGGUAAGUUCCGACCCGCACGAAUGGCGUAACGACUUCAACACUGUCUCAACGAUGGACUCGGUGAAAUUGCAGGACCGGUAAAGAUGCCGGUUACGCGCAGCAGGACAAAAAGACCCCGUGGAGCUUUACUGCAACUUGGCAUUGGUUCGAGUUUUAAAAUGUGUAGGAUAGGCGGGAGACUAUGAACUUCAGGCGUUAGCCUGGGGGGAGUCGCCCUUGAAAUACCGCCCUUUUUAUGAUUUGAACCUAACCUUUUGGAACAGUGUCUGGUGGGCAGUUUGACUGGGGCGGUCGCCUCCCAAAGAGUAACGGAGGCGUACAAAGGUCACCUCAAGCUGGAUGGAAAUCAGCUUUUGAGUGCAUUGGCAUAAGGUGGCUUGACUGCGAGACUUACAAGUCGAGCAGGGACGAAAGUCGGUCAAAGUGAUCCCACGAUUCCGAGUGGAAGGGUCGUGGCUUAACGGAUAAAAGCUACCCCGGGGAUAACAGGCUUAUC
This 1277-nucleotide ribosomal RNA is filed under the name marine metagenome. RNAcentral describes it as "bacterial LSU rRNA". It matches the Rfam family "Bacterial large subunit ribosomal RNA", at positions 1218 to 2487 of the family's 2925-position model. The record is from RNAcentral.